AAGUCGUAACAAGGUUUCCGUAGGUGAACCUGCGGAAGGAUCAUUAACACGUAUCCACGUAUCAACCCCAUGUGCUCUUUUGGUCUCGUACCCUGGCCAGCGCCAGAGAAAGUGGGACGGAACUGAACCGAAUGGUGAAGAGAUCAAAUAACAGAGAAAGUUCGCUCUCUCUGUGUUUGGUCUCUGGGUUGAGUUCUGUCUGUGUGCUUUCUCGCCUCUUUGCUGGUCCAGGCUUGUGUUCCUCUCACCAUUGGAAUCAAACCUUUUUCACAUUUAAACCCCUAGUACCAUUUUGUUACUGAAUCAAUGUUUGAAGAUUUCCUCUCACGAGGAGUCUUUGAAUAACGAUACGAAACGUUGAACAACUCUUAGCAACGGAUAUCUUGGCUCUC
RNAcentral lists this unclassified non-coding RNA (392 nucleotides) under fungal sp. RNAcentral describes it as "partial internal transcribed spacer region". The stretch from base 1 to 46 matches the Rfam family "Eukaryotic small subunit ribosomal RNA", at positions 1786 to 1831 of the family's 1831-position model. The record is from RNAcentral. Lineage: Eukaryota; Fungi.